This 465-nucleotide ribosomal RNA is filed under the name uncultured bacterium. RNAcentral's name for it is "partial 16S ribosomal RNA". It matches the Rfam family "Bacterial small subunit ribosomal RNA", at positions 28 to 507 of the family's 1533-position model. The record is from RNAcentral.
GACGAACGCUGGCGGCGUGCUUAACACAUGCAAGUCGAACGGAAAGGCCCCUUUGGGGGUCCUCGAGUGGCGAACGGGUGAGUAACACGUGAGUAACCUGCCCUUGACUUCGGGAUAACUUCAGGAAACUGGGGCUAAUACCGGAUAGGAAUCCUUGCUGCAUGGUGGGGGUUGGAAAGCUUCGGCGGUUUUGGAUGGACUCGCGGCUUAUCAGCUUGUUGGUGGGGUAGUGGCUUACCAAGGCUUUGACGGGUAGCCGGCCUGAGAGGGCGACCGGCCACAUUGGGACUGAGGUACGGCCCAGACUCCUACGGGAGGCAGCAGUGGGGAAUAUUGCACAAUGGGCGGAAGCCUGAUGCAGCAACGCCGCGGGCGGGAUGACGGCCUUCGGGUUGUAAACCGCUUUCAGCAGGGGCGAAGCUUGUGGUGACGGUACCUGCAGAAGAAGCACCGGCUAACUACGUG